AUGGCCACCGCCUCCACCAUGUCCCUGCUCCCCAUCUCGCACCUCAAGCAGCUGCAGCAGCAGCGGCGCACGCGGCUCGCCAGCGCGCGCUCCGGGAAGGUGGUCGUGCUCGGCCGCCGGAGGCGACACGUCGUGCCGAGGGCCCGGCUGUUCGGUCCGGCCAUCUUCGAGGCGUCCAAGCUCAAGGUGCUGUUCGUGGGGGUGGACGAGGAGAAGCACCCGGGGAAGCUGCCCCGGACCUACACGCUCACCCACAGCGACGUGACGGCGCGGCUGACGCUGGCGGUGUCGCACACCAUCCACGCCGCGCAGCUGCAGGGCUGGUACAACCGCCUGCAGCGGGACGAGGUGGUGGCCGAGUGGAAGAAGGUGCAGGGCGCCAUGUCGCUGCACGUCCACUGCCACAUCUCCGGCGGCCACUUCCUGCUCGACCUCAUCGCGCCGCUCCGCUACUACAUCUUCCGCAAGGAGCUCCCCGUGGUUCUGAAGGCGUUCGUGCACGGCGACGGCAGCCUGUUCAGCCAGCACCCGGAGCUGGAGGAGGCCACGGUGUGGGUCUACUUCCACUCCAACAACCCCAACUUCAACCGCGUCGAGUGCUGGGGCCCGCUCCGCGACGCCGCCGCGCCCUACGACGACGACAACGCCACCGCCGACUCCCCAGCCGCCGACGCGGCCGUAGCGACCACGGCAACGGCCGCAAACGAGCAGGCGAUACGCGCGGGCCAGUGGCCGCGGCGGUGCCCCGGGCAGUGCGACUGCUGCUUCCCGCCCGAGUGCCUCAUCCCCUGGCCGCAGGAGCACGAAAUGGCCGCCGACGCCGGCCAGGCGCCGCCGCAGUGA
Molecule: ribosomal RNA, 843 nt
Filed under: Triticum aestivum (bread wheat)
Lineage: Eukaryota; Viridiplantae; Streptophyta; Magnoliopsida; Poales; Poaceae
Description: partial small subunit ribosomal RNA
Source: RNAcentral